RNAcentral lists this ribosomal RNA (406 nucleotides) under uncultured bacterium. RNAcentral describes it as "partial 16S ribosomal RNA". It matches the Rfam family "Bacterial small subunit ribosomal RNA", at positions 30 to 526 of the family's 1533-position model. The record is from RNAcentral.
AUUGAACGCUGGCGGCAGGCCUAACACAUGCAAGUCGAACGAGUGGCGGACGGGUGAGCAAUGUCUGGGACACUGCCUGAUGGAGGGGGAUAACUACUGGAAACGGGAGCUAUUACCGCAUACCAUCGGAUGUGCCCAGGUGGGUUUAGCUUGUAGGUGGGGUAACGGCCCACCUAGGCGACGAUCCCUAGCGGGGCUGUGAGGAUGACCAGCCACACUGUACCUGAGACACGUUCCAGACUCCUACGGGAGGCAGCAGUGGGGAAUAUUGCACAAUGGGCGCAAGCCUGAUGCAGCCAUGCCGCGUAUAUGAAGAAGGCCUUCUGGUUUUAAAGUACUUUCAGUGGGGAGGCGUUACCCGCAGAAGAAGCACCGGCUAACUCCGUGCCAGCCGCCGCGGUAAUUC